CGUGNACGUUUGGGUUUCGUCAGGGUUGUUGCUGGUUUCUUUUGGGCAUGUGCACGCCUUGACGCCCCCAAGUGUUUCGAGUCCUUUCUUCACACCCCUUGUGCACCAUCUGUAGCUGGGGAUGAUCACGGAGCCCUUUGGGUUUCGAAUGCCCCAGCUAUGAAGUUUUUGCUACACACCCUUUUGUAAAAGUUUAUCAGAACGUUUGUAACCGCGUCUUCGACGGCGCGAAUCAAAUACAACUUUCAGCAACGGAUCUCUUGGCUCUCGCAUCGAUGAAGAACGCAGCGAAAUGCGAUAAGUAAUGUGAAUUGCAGAAUUCAGUGAAUCAUCGAAUCUUUGAACGCACCUUGCGCUCCUUGGUAUUCCGAGGAGCAUGCCUGUUUGAGUGUCAUGAAAUUCUCAACUGCUCGCUUAUGCUCAUCUUAAGAGGGUGAAGUUGGAUUUUGGAGCUCUUUUGCCAGCUUUUGUUUCUGGCUGCUCCUAAAAGCAUUUCGAGCCCCUUUAGGGUUGGAAGUAUCUUUGACGUGAUAGCCAUCUGCGUCGUANAGAAAAGCCUAGGAAAAAAGAGGCUCGUUUAAAGAAGUUCGUUUGACCCUUUUGACCUCANAUCAGGCAGGACUACCCGCUGAACUUAAGCAU
RNAcentral lists this ribosomal RNA (642 nucleotides) under uncultured fungus. RNAcentral's name for it is "eukaryotic LSU rRNA". The stretch from base 241 to 394 matches the Rfam family "5.8S ribosomal RNA". Lineage: Eukaryota; Fungi. The record is from RNAcentral.